GACGAACGCUGGCGGCGUGCUUAACACAUGCAAGUCGAACGGAAAGGCCCUGCUUUUGUGGGGGCCUCGAUUGGCAAAGGGGGGGGAACCACGUGAGAACCUUCCCCUGGCUUUUGGGAAACCUCCAGGAAAUGGGGGCUAUACCGGGAAGGGGCCUCUUCCGCAUGGGGGGGGGUGGGAAAGUUUGGCGGUUGGGGGUGGACUCGCGGCUUAUCAGCUUGUUGGUGGGGGAGUGGCUUACCAAGGCUUUGACGGGUAGCCGGCCUGAGAGGGUGACCGGCCACAUUGGGACUGAGAUACGGCCCAGACUCCUACGGGAGGCAGCAGUGGGGAAUAUUGCACAAUGGGCGGAAGCCUGAUGCAGCAACGCCGCGUGCGGGAUGACGGCCUUCGGGUUGUAAACCGCUUUCGCCUGUGACGAAGCGUGAGUGACGGUAAUGGGUAAAGAAGCACCGGCUAACUACGUG
RNAcentral lists this ribosomal RNA (467 nucleotides) under uncultured bacterium. RNAcentral describes it as "partial 16S ribosomal RNA". It matches the Rfam family "Bacterial small subunit ribosomal RNA", at positions 28 to 507 of the family's 1533-position model. The record is from RNAcentral.